RNAcentral lists this ribosomal RNA (520 nucleotides) under uncultured bacterium. RNAcentral describes it as "bacterial SSU rRNA". It matches the Rfam family "Bacterial small subunit ribosomal RNA", at positions 120 to 674 of the family's 1533-position model. The record is from RNAcentral.
GGGAACAUACCCUUUUCUACGGAAUAGCUCUGGGAAACUGGAAUUAAUACCGUAUACGCCCUACGGGGGAAAGAUUUAUCGGGGAAGGAUUGGCCCGCGUUGGAUUAGCUAGUUGGUGGGGUAAAGGCCUACCAAGGCGACGAUCCAUAGCUGGUCUGAGAGGAUGAUCAGCCACAUUGGGACUGAGACACGGCCCAAGCUCCUACGGGAGGCAGCAGUGGGGAAUAUUGGACAAUGGGCGCAAGCCUGAUCCAGCCAUGCCGCGUGAGUGAUGAAGGCCUUAGGGUUGUAAAGCUCUUUCACCGAUGAAGAUAAUGACGGUAGUCGGAGAAGAAGCCCCGGCUAACUUCGUGCCAGCAGCCGCGGUAAUACGAAGGGGGCUAGCGUUGUUCGGAAUUACUGGGCGUAAAGCGCACGUAGGCGGAUAUUUAAGUCAGGGGUGAAAUCCCAGAGCUCAACUCUGGAACUGCCUUUGAUACUGGGUAUCUUGAGUAUGGAAGAGGUAAGUGGAAUUGCGAGU